Pelobates cultripes (western spadefoot toad) is the source of this 227-nucleotide non-coding RNA. NCBI's taxonomy places the organism in Eukaryota, Metazoa, Chordata, Amphibia, Anura, Pelobatidae. The record is from the annotation of a GenBank genome assembly.
CCAGCACUCACACACACAUCAUCCAGCACACACACACACAUCAUCCAGCACUCACACAAACACCCAUCAUCCAGCACACACACAAACACACAUCAUCCAGCACUCACACAAACACCCAUCAACCAGCACUCACACACACAUCAUCCAGCACUCACACAAACACCCAUCAUCCAGCACUCACACACACAUCAUCCAGCACACACACACAUCACCCAGCACACACACAC